Molecule: ribosomal RNA, 580 nt
Filed under: uncultured bacterium
Lineage: Bacteria
Description: partial 16S ribosomal RNA
Rfam family: Bacterial small subunit ribosomal RNA
Source: RNAcentral
UGGGGAAUUUUGGACAAUGGGCGAAAGCCUGAUCCAGCAAUGCCGCGUGUGUGAAGAAGGCCUUCGGGUUGUAAAGCACUUUUGUCCGGAAAGAAAUCCUUGGCUCUAAUACAGUCGGGGGAUGACGGUACCGGAAGAAUAAGCACCGGCUAACUACGUGCCAGCAGCCGCGGUAAUACGUAGGGUGCAAGCGUUAAUCGGAAUUACUGGGCGUAAAGCGUGCGCAGGCGGUUUGCUAAGACCGAUGUGAAAUCCCCGGGCUCAACCUGGGAACUGCAUUGGUGACUGGCAGGCUAGAGUAUGGCAGAGGGGGGUAGAAUUCCACGUGUAGCAGUGAAAUGCGUAGAGAUGUGGAGGAAUACCGAUGGCGAAGGCAGCCCCCUGGGCCAAUACUGACGCUCAUGCACGAAAGCGUGGGGAGCAAACAGGAUUNGAUACCCUGGUAGUCCACGCCCUAAAACGAUGUCAACUAGUUGUUGGGGAUUCAUUUCCUUAGUAACGUAGCUAACGCGUGAAGUUGACCGCCUGGGGAGUACGGUCGCAAGAUUAAAACUCAAAGGAAUUGACGGGGUCAUAGCUG